RNAcentral lists this transfer RNA (65 nucleotides) under Rhinebothrium sp. 1. RNAcentral describes it as "tRNA-Leu". Lineage: Eukaryota; Metazoa; Platyhelminthes; Cestoda; Rhinebothriidea; Rhinebothriidae. The record is from RNAcentral.
GUGGCUAUGACAGAAUUAUAUGUGUUAGCUUUAAGCGCUAAUUAUGGGGCUCAUCCCUAGUCACU